UGAACGCUGGCGGUAUGCCUUAUACAUGCAAGUCGUACGAGAGUUUUUAACUCAAGUGGCGGACGGGUGAGUAACACGUAAGAAUUUGCCUUUAGGAGGGGGAUAACAACUGGAAACGGUUGCUAAUACCCCAUAUGCUUUCGAGUGAAAUGGAUUUAUCCGCCUAAAGAGGAGCUCGCGGCUGAUUAGCUUGUUGGUAGGGUAAUGGCCUACCAAGGCGACGAUCAGUAUCUGGUUUGAGAGGAUGAUCAGACACACUGGAACUGAGACACGGUCCAGACUCCUACGGGAGGCAGCAGUGGGGAAUUUUCCGCAAUGGGCGAAAGCCUGACGGAGCAAUACCGCGUGAGGGAUGACGGCCUAUGGGUUGUAAACCUCUUUUUUCAGGGAGGAAUCAAUGACGUGUACCUGAAGAAUAAGCAUCGGCUAACUCC
This 434-nucleotide ribosomal RNA is filed under the name uncultured bacterium. RNAcentral describes it as "bacterial SSU rRNA". It matches the Rfam family "Bacterial small subunit ribosomal RNA", at positions 30 to 504 of the family's 1533-position model. The record is from RNAcentral.